UAAUACGAAGGUGGCAAGCGUUACUCGGAAUUACUAGGCGUAAAGGGCAGGUAGGCGGUUUGAUGAGUCUGUUGUGAAAGCUCCCGGCUUAACUGGGAGAGGUCAACAGAUACUGUCGAACUUGAGUAUGGGAGAGGGUACUGGAAUUCCUGGUGUAGCGGUGAAAUGCGCAGAGAUCAGGAGGAACACCGAUGGCGAAAGCAGGUACCUGGACCAUUACUGACGCUCAGCUGCGAAAGCUAGGGGAGCAAACAGGAUUAGAUACCCUGGUAGUCCUAGCCGUAAACGAUGCACAUUAGGCGUGAGGGGUAUCGACCCCCUUCGUGCCGACGCAAACGCAUUAAAUGUGCCGCCUGGGGAGUACGGCCGCAAGGUUG
This 377-nucleotide ribosomal RNA is filed under the name uncultured bacterium. RNAcentral describes it as "bacterial SSU rRNA". It matches the Rfam family "Bacterial small subunit ribosomal RNA", at positions 521 to 896 of the family's 1533-position model. The record is from RNAcentral.